Pyrus x bretschneideri (Chinese white pear) is the source of this 814-nucleotide long non-coding RNA. RefSeq lists it as uncharacterized. The transcript has 3 exons. The record is from RefSeq and is a predicted model, not a curated record. NCBI's taxonomy places the organism in Eukaryota, Viridiplantae, Streptophyta, Magnoliopsida, Rosales, Rosaceae.
UACAAUAUUUAACAGUAAUGGAAAUCGAACCUAUGCAACCGUAACACUCGCUGGUAGACACGUUACAAUAUUUAUCUCGUCGGCCCUCCCCUCCUCGCCAUUCUCAGACUGUCUUUGUCUCCUCUCGUUCUAACCGCUAUAGCCUCGCCCUCAACAACAAUCGUGCUAAGGGUUAGGGUUUCCAAUUCUUUCCUCUGGUUCUUUCGAGCUGUAAUUUUAUAGGGUUAGGGUUUUCAUUUCGGGCUUUCUCCCCAUGAGCGAUGUUCCCGACUCUCAGAAACUCCAUUUGGCUAGUUGAAUUUCAUUAGGGAUAUGUUCCUCUCUCUGUAUCUCUGUCUGCUUCCAUCUCGUCUGCCUCCUUGGUUGUCUCCUGCCUGUUUCUCGUUAUUCUGAGCGGUUGUUGGAAGCCCGAAUUGAGGAGGCUGUAGUCGAUUUGUUUCUCUGAAGCUCGCCAAAAUAGCUCAGACCACUUAAACCGAUGCAUUGUUGGGAUUAUAGAUGGAGCAAGUCAUGUUCCCCCAUCCAACAUUACAAGGGGUUUCGUAAUUGAAGUGAGUUGUCAACUUUUAGCUGCAAGCAAACUUUAGUGGUAAGUUUACUGUGAAGUAGGGAAACAUUGUUUGUGUGUGUUGUUUUCAUUCCUCUAUUUUGUUUGUUCAUGCUUUAUUACCAGACUUGGUCUGAAUGUGAGACAGGCAAAGAUAUGAAUGUUGUGCAAACAGAAGAUAGUUUUAUAAUGAAGCCUAUUGAUCAAAGAGAGCGCACCAGAAAUCGUAAUGAUGUUCAGACUCGUCGCAUGAAGAACAGAGAACGA